Xyrichtys novacula (pearly razorfish) is the source of this 2617-nucleotide non-coding RNA. Lineage: Eukaryota; Metazoa; Chordata; Actinopteri; Labriformes; Labridae. The record is from the annotation of a GenBank genome assembly.
GGAGAGAGAGAGAGGGAGGGAGUUUAUAAAAAACAAAAAAACUGUUUCCUGAUAAAUAAUGAGGGGGAGAUAAAGGGAGGAAUCGCCCCCCCCCCCCCCCCCCCUCGCUGAGCGGCCUCAUGCUGAUGGAGACAGAUGCUGCAGGAAACGACGAGGAAAAGAAACUGAGGAGGAUCAACGCUGAGCACACACACACACACACACACACACACACACACACACACACACACACACACACACACACACACACACACACACACACACAGACAGACACACACACACACACACACACACACACACACACACACACACACACACACACACACACACACACACACACACACACACACACACACACACACACACAGACAGACACACACACACACACACACACACACAUGAACACACACACACACACACACAUACACACAGACACACACACACACACACACACACACACACACACACUCACACUCUGGGAUGUCAUCCGCAGAGACGUCAGAUUUACACGCCGCCGUAGCUCCACCUGUUUGCCACCAUGACAGGUGUGUGUGUGAUGAUGAGUUCACCUCUCUCUGAUUGGUCGAUGUCGGUGUUCUCGCCAUCACCUCUCGCCGUUUUGAUCCUGUGAUCUGAGCGAACGCGGUUUUGAUGCCAAAUGAACGCCUCUCUCAGCAGAUGGUCAGGGGUCAAAGGUCAGAGUUGGGCUUUGAGGAAACAGACGUCUUUAGGAGGGUCAAUCACCCGGCUCGAUACGCCGCCGCCGAAGACACGCCGAGGGAGCGCCAUUGAUUUAGAGCUGAUCGGCACGCCGCCCAGAUCGGACUCCCCUGUGGCCCCGCCCCUCUGCUACAGUCAUCGCUCUAAUCGCAUGUCAGACCCCUGACCUCGCCGACGAACGGCGUCCAAUCAGAGCAGAGGAAAGGGCGAGGAGAGAUGUCAGGGGGCGAGCUUCUGAGGAGAGGAGAAACGUGCCGAGUUAGCAAAACGCAGAAGAGGAGGAGGAGAGAGAGGGGAGGAGAGGAGGAGAGAGGAGAACGGAGGAGGAGGGAGAGAGGAGAGAAGGAGAGAGAGUGGAGGAGAGGAAGGAGAGGAGGAGAGAAGGAGGAGGUGAGGAAGAGAGGAAGGAGAGGAGGAGGAGGUGAGGAAGAGAGGAGGAGAGAAGGAGAGAGAGAGGAGGAGAGGAAGGAGAGGAGGAGGAGGUGAGGAAGAGAGGAGGAGAGAAGGAGAGAGAGAGGAGGAGAGGAAGGAGAGGAGGAGAGACGGAGGAGGUGAGGAAGAGAGGAGGAGAGAAGGAGAGAGAGUGGAGGAGAGGAAGGAGAGGAGGAGAGAAGGAGGAGGUGAGGAAGAGAGGAAGGAGAGGAGGAGGAGGUGAGGAAGAGAGGAGGAGAGAAGGAGAGAGAGAGGAGGAGAGGAAGGAGAGGAGGAGGAGGUGAGGAAGAGAGGAGGAGAGAAGGAGAGAGAGAGGAGGAGAGGAAGGAGAGGAGGAGGAGGUGAGGAAGAGAGGAGGAGAGAAGGAGAGAGAGAGGAGGAGAGGAAGGAGAGGAGGAGGAGGUGAGGAAGAGAGGAAGGAGAGAAGGAGAGAGAGUGGAGGAGAGGAAGGAGAGGAGGAGGGGAGAGAGGAAAGGAGGAGAGGAGGAGGGGGGGGGAGAGGGGAGAGGAGGUGAGGAAGAAAGGAGGAGAGAAGGAGAGAGAGAGGAGGAGAGGAAGGAGAGGAGGAGAGAAGGAGAGAGAGAGAAGGAGAGGAGGAGGGGAGAGAGGAAAGGAGGAGAGGAGGAGGGGGGAGGAGAGGCUGAGGGGGAGAGGGGAGAGGAGGGGAGGAGGAGGAGCAGAGGAGAGGAGGAGGAGAGGAAGGAGAGGAGGAGAGAAGGAGGAGGUGAGGAAUAGAGGAGGAGAGAAGGAGAGAGAGAGAAGGAAAGGAGGAGAGGAGGAGGGGGGGAGGAGAGGAGGAGGAGGGGGAGGGGGAGAGGGGAUAGGAGGGGAGGAGGUGAGGAAGAGAGGAGAGGAGGAGGAGGAGCGGAGGAGAGGAGGAGGAGAGGAAGGAGAGGAGGAGAGAAGGAGGAGGUGAGGAAUAGAGGAGGAGAGAAGGAGAGAGAGAGAAGGAGAGGAAGGAGAGAAGGAGCAGGUCAGGAAGAGAGGAGGAGAGAAGGGGAGAGAGAGGAGGAGAGAGGAAGGGAGGAGGAGGGGAGAGAGGAAAGGAGGAGAGGGGGGAGGAGGAAAAGGGAGGGGGGAGAGGAGGAGGGUGGAAAGGGGAGAGGAGGAGAGGAGGAAAGGAAAGAGGGAAGAAGGAAAAGAAGGGCCAAAGAAAAGAAGGAAGGAAGGAAGGAACGGGAAAGAAAGGAAGAAAGGAAGGAGGAAGGACGAAAGGGAGGGAGGAAGGAAGAAAUGAGGGAGGAAGGAAGGAAAGGAAGAAAAGGAAAGAUGAAGGAAGGAAGGGAGAAAGGAAAGAAGGACAGAAGCCACAGGUCUAUAACAUCAGACUGAACCCCCCCCCCCCCGGUCGACAACAUUCAUCCCUGGAGGGGGGGUCUAACUCUGUGUUACGGUGGGUUUGACCCUGAAUAAAUAAAAACAGAAUAUCCCUUUAAAAACGGUGGAAUAUCCCUUUAAAAACGGU